GGCGACGUAGCCAAGUGGUAAGGCAGUUCUCUGCAAAAGAACUAUUCAGCGGUUCGAAUCCGCUCGUCGCCUCCA
RNAcentral lists this transfer RNA (75 nucleotides) under Candidatus Omnitrophota bacterium. Its description in RNAcentral is "tRNA-Cys". It matches the Rfam family "tRNA". Rfam says of the family: Transfer RNA (tRNA) molecules are approximately 80 nucleotides in length. Lineage: Bacteria; Pseudomonadati; Candidatus Omnitrophota. The record is from RNAcentral.